This 297-nucleotide small nuclear RNA is filed under the name Erinaceus europaeus (western European hedgehog). RNAcentral describes it as "7SK RNA". The stretch from base 1 to 255 matches the Rfam family "7SK RNA". From Rfam's summary of the family: 7SK was discovered as an abundant small nuclear RNA in the mid-70s but a possible function has only recently been suggested. Two independent studies have found that 7SK RNA binds the CDK9/cyclin T complex (known as elongation factor P-TEFb). P-TEFb activates transcription by phosphorylating the C-terminal domain of RNA polymerase II. The record is from Rfam by way of RNAcentral. Lineage: Eukaryota; Metazoa; Chordata; Mammalia; Eulipotyphla; Erinaceidae.
AGAUGUGAGGGCUAUCUGGCUGCGACAUCUGUCAACCCCAUUGAUCGCCAAGGUUGAUUGGGCUGAUCUGGCUGGCUAGGUGGGUGUUCCCUUCCUCCCUCACUGCUCCAUGUGCAACCCUCCCGAAGGCCUUCCCCAAAUAGAGACAGACAAGUCUUCUGUCUAGAGUAUAGCUGCACUCCCCUGCUAGAACCUCCAAACAAGCUCUCAAGAAAUCUUGAACAUCCUCUGUAGUCUUAGGUGCUUUAGCUUUGGUUUUGGUUUGGGUCUUGGUCUCAGUUUGAGAUAAAGGUGCUU